Long non-coding RNA from Haliotis rubra (blacklip abalone), 1097 nucleotides. RefSeq lists it as uncharacterized. The transcript is spliced from 3 exons. The record is from RefSeq and is a predicted model, not a curated record. NCBI's taxonomy places the organism in Eukaryota, Metazoa, Mollusca, Gastropoda, Lepetellida, Haliotidae.
CGUUGUUUCACCCUGACGCCGAGAGGUCACUCGAACGGAAGUAUAUGCAGCAGAGUAAACACCAUAACAUCCACAGGUUAAUGAUGAAAGUUGACCCAAACCUAUACAAUUCACACUCAAGUAAUUGAUUCAACAGAAAGUAAACAUCAUAACAUCGACAAGUUAAUGAUGGAACUUGAAAGCAACCGACAGAAUCCUUUCUCUGUCACUAAAACAAAUGAAAUCUGUUAAAGGGAUUUGCUAGAAACCUCAAGAAACAUUUAUUGACACCUUGGAAAUAGGUGAUCUCAUGAAAGAACCAAUUAUUGGAAUCCUGGAAAUAGUUUCCUAAUGGUUUGGAGAAUCACCAAAACGACAAAACAGUCUCGUGCAUGUUGUGAAAGCCUGGAAACAUUUUCUAAAUCAGAGAGUUGAAAAGAUGCGUUCUCUGUCACAGUGGCGUCAAGACUUUUGAGUGUGCUGGAUGUGAGAAAACAUUCACACUAUCAGCUUAUCUCCAGACACACAUGGAGAUUCACAGCAGAGUCAAGCCUUAUGAAUUUUUUUGGGAAUGUGGGAAAACAUUUACAUGAUUAUAUACUCUUAAUGCACAUAUGAGGAUUCACAGUGGAAUCAAGUCUUAUUAAAUGUGGGAAACAAUUUACACUAUCAGGUACUCUUUGGGAAACACAUGAAGAUUCACAGUGGAUUCAAAUCUCAUUAGUGCAUUGUGUGUGGGAAAACAUUUACACAAUCAGUUCAUCUGCAGAGACACAUGAAGAUUCACAGUGGAAUCAAGCCUUAUAAAUGUGAGGAAUGUGGGAAAUAAUUUACACAUUCAUGUGCUCUAGAGAAAAACAGGAAGAUUCACAGUGGAAUGAAACCUUAUCAGUCCAUUGUGUGUGUGAGAAACAUUUACACAAACAGUUUCAGGAUUCAUACAGGAAUCAUGCCUUAUGAAUGUAGAGAAUGUGGAAAAGAAUUUACACAGUCCAAAAGUCUCCAAGCACACAUGAGAACUCACAGUGGAAUCAAGCCUUAUGAAUGUGUUGAAUGUGGGAAAAAAUUUAAACAAUCAAAUAUUCUGGGGACACACAUGAGGAUUCACAGUGGAAUUA